AUUCAGUCGGUGGAUCCUCCUGCUCGAAGGCGGGGUGCUAAACCAUUCGCAGACGACCUAGUUGAAGAUCGGGGUGUCGUGAUCACUAGAGCAGUACAUCUCACUGCGAUUUGUUGAGAGUAAGCCUCAAGAUCUGUCGGUUUGU
Ciona savignyi (Pacific transparent sea squirt) is the source of this 145-nucleotide non-coding RNA. NCBI's taxonomy places the organism in Eukaryota, Metazoa, Chordata, Ascidiacea, Phlebobranchia, Cionidae. The record is from Rfam.